This 480-nucleotide ribosomal RNA is filed under the name uncultured bacterium. Its description in RNAcentral is "bacterial SSU rRNA". It matches the Rfam family "Bacterial small subunit ribosomal RNA", at positions 501 to 981 of the family's 1533-position model. The record is from RNAcentral.
CUACGUGCCAGCAGCCGCGGUAAUACGGAAGGUCCAGGCGUUAUCCGGAUUUAUUGGGUUUAAAGGGAGCGUAGGCCGUGGAUUAAGCGUGUUGUGAAAUGUAGACGCUCAACGUCUGAAUUGCAGCGCGAACUGGUUCACUUGAGUAUGCACAACGUAGGCGGAAUUCGUCGUGUAGCGGUGAAAUGCUUAGAUAUGACGAAGAACUCCGAUUGCGAAGGCAGCUUACGGGAGCACAACUGACGCUGAAGCUCGAAGGUGCGGGUAUCAAACAGGAUUAGAUACCCUGGUAGUCCGCACAGUAAACGAUGGAUGCCCGUUGUUAGUUCACCUAAGAAUUAGCGACCAAGCGAAAGCAUUAAGCAUCCCACCUGGGGAGUACGCCGGCAACGGUGAAACUCAAAGGAAUUGACGGGGGCCCGCACAAGCGGAGGAACAUGUGGUUUAAUUCGAUGAUACGCGAGGAACCUUACCCGGGCC